CCUACGGGAGGCAGCAGUGGGGAAUAUUGGGCAAUGGAGGAAACUCUGACCCAGCGACGCCGCGUGCGGGAUGAAGGCCUUCGGGUUGUAAACCGCUUUCAGCAGGGGAGAAGCGAAAGUGACGGUACCUGCAGAAGAAGCACCGGCUAACUAUGUGCCAGCAGCCGCGGUAAUACAUAGGGUGCGAGCGUUGUCCGGAAUUAUUGGGCGUAAAGAGCUCGUAGGUGGUUCGUCACGUCGGAUGUGAAAAUCUGGGGCUUAACCCCAGACCUGCAUUCGAUACGGGCGAGCUUGAGUAUGGUAGGGGAGUCUGGAAUUCCUGGUGUAGCGGUGGAAUGCGCAGAUAUCAGGAGGAACACCAAUGGCGAAGGCAGGACUCUGGGCCAUUACUGACACUGAGGAGCGAAAGCGUGGGGAGCGAACAGGAUUAGAUACCCUGGUAGUCCACGACCGUAACGGUACGGCGACUAGUUGUGGGUACCGUUACCGUACGGUCGUCUGCGACGCAGCUACGCAUAGUCGCCCGCCGCGGGAGGUACGAGUCGCGAGAUAAACUACAAUAGAAGUUAGACGGCGUGAGACGUGCCGACGGACGACGACGAGGGAGGUUAGG
This 613-nucleotide ribosomal RNA is filed under the name uncultured bacterium. RNAcentral describes it as "bacterial SSU rRNA". The stretch from base 1 to 528 matches the Rfam family "Bacterial small subunit ribosomal RNA", at positions 338 to 873 of the family's 1533-position model. The record is from RNAcentral.